CGCGUACCACCAGGCCCUCCAGACUACCGAGCCCUCUUCCUAGAGCAGUCCCUGCGGGAGUGGGGGGGUGGGGCGCUGGGGCGCCCCUUCUCCCUCCAUUACUCCCCACAGAGCCUGCCCAACGGCCACCCGGAAGUGCAAGCAUUUCGGAGGUCCAGAGCGUCGGUUUUGGGUACGCUGUUACUCUUUCAUUCACCCAACUGACAAUCCUCGGGUGCUUUGAUAGGGAGAUGAUCGAGGCGCAGCCUGUGUCCGCAUACAGGACUAUAGGACUGGGUGACAGGUGCCGUGCUUCACGGUACGGGAUGCUGUACCUCCAAGGAGCCGAAGGGAUGGCAGGAAGCGCUCCUGGAAGGGCAACAACCCUGGGCCCCGCAGUGCCCGCCACGUGGGCUCGCGAGUAUUUGGUGGAUGGGGCCUGCUGCUGGCAGAGCGUCGCGAGUAGAAGGGGGAUUCCGCGCGGAAGAAAGGCGGCCGGCCUGAAACCGUCUGCGCGUGCAGGAUCUUGAGUGCCCGGAGCUGAAGCUGGAAGGAUGGACGUGGGUGGGCCUGAAGAUUCCAAGCUUUUGAUCAUGGCUUGGUCUUUCUGUGCCAAGCCCCCUUCCUGAAGCUGCCUAGGCUCCCACCAGGAAUCACCUCAGAAUAAAAGCUGCUUCCGUGAUUCAGAAGUCCCCAAGGAUUUGGGAGAGCUCUGGGCC
Molecule: long non-coding RNA, 698 nt
Organism: Heterocephalus glaber (naked mole-rat)
Lineage: Eukaryota; Metazoa; Chordata; Mammalia; Rodentia; Bathyergidae
Source: Ensembl